UACGGGGGGAGCAAGCGUUGUCCGGAAUCACUGGGCGUAAAGGGCGUGUAGGCGGCCACAUAAGUCAGAUGUGAAAGGUCUCGGCUUAACCGGGGAAGUGCAUUUGAAACUGUGUGGCUUGAGUGCGAGAGGGGGUAGUGGAAUUCCCAGUGUAGCGGUGAAAUGCGUAGAUAUUGGGAAGAACACCAGUAGCGAAGGCGGCUACCUGGCUCGUAACUGACGCUAAGGCGCGAAAGCGUGGGGAGCAAACAGG
This 253-nucleotide ribosomal RNA is filed under the name uncultured bacterium. Its description in RNAcentral is "partial 16S ribosomal RNA". It matches the Rfam family "Bacterial small subunit ribosomal RNA", at positions 524 to 776 of the family's 1533-position model. The record is from RNAcentral.